UACGUAGGGGGCAAGCGUUGUCCGGAAUCAUUGGGCGUAAAGCGCGUGUAGGCGGCCCAGUAAGUCCGCUGUGAAAGCCCAGGGCUCAACCCUGGGAUGCCGGUGGAUACUGUUGGGCUCGAGUCCGGAAGAGGCGAGUGGAAUUCCCGGUGUAGCGGUGAAAUGCGCAGAUAUCGGGAGGAACACCAAUGGCGAAGGCAGCUCGCUGGGACGUGACUGACGCUGAGGCACGAAAGCGUGGGGAGCAAACAGG
This 253-nucleotide ribosomal RNA is filed under the name uncultured bacterium. RNAcentral's name for it is "partial 16S ribosomal RNA". It matches the Rfam family "Bacterial small subunit ribosomal RNA", at positions 524 to 776 of the family's 1533-position model. The record is from RNAcentral.